Molecule: long non-coding RNA, 557 nt
Organism: Bos taurus (domestic cattle)
Lineage: Eukaryota; Metazoa; Chordata; Mammalia; Artiodactyla; Bovidae
Source: Ensembl
GCACAGGAGUAAGCUGCCUGAAUUAAAGGCCUGCAGCUUCUGCAUGAAUAAAUGCUGCUUGCUCAUUCUGUAGUGCUCCAGGAGAUGUGCAAAGUUGUUACCUUCCUGCUAUUCCAAUGUACAACAGCUAAGUCUCUUUUAUCCUUAGGAAAACUACAAGUUUGAGCAAGGUUUAACUGUGUAAUGGGACUUCCUUUUAGGAAUACAUAAUCAGUCAAACAUACUUGCUAAAUACAAGGAGGCUCAAAAAUGCAGAGGAGUCCAUGGAAUGCUUGGUACCCUGUAUUUCCACAAGAAGAAAGGGUUAAAAGGAGGGAAGCCUAAUUGUUAAAGAGUAGAUAAAUUUGAGGAGUGGAAGAGAAGUGGUAAAGGAGAACCACAUUUUAUUGUAUUCAAAUCUAAAUACCUUGUUUUUUCAACAAUGCUAUAUUUUGUUUGAUUUGAUUAAAAUAUAUUUUAAAUUUUAUGAAUUCUUAAAAUCACUACUUAGAGACCAGGAGAAUCCUCUGGCUUAAUUUUUGUAAUAAGGUUGUGACUAGUUCAGUGUCUGGUAGGAC